RNAcentral lists this ribosomal RNA (506 nucleotides) under uncultured bacterium. RNAcentral's name for it is "partial 16S ribosomal RNA". It matches the Rfam family "Bacterial small subunit ribosomal RNA", at positions 29 to 523 of the family's 1533-position model. The record is from RNAcentral.
AGUGAACGCUGGCGGUAGGCCUAACACAUGCAAGUCGAACGGCAGCACAGGAGAGCUUGCUCUCUGGGUGGCGAGUGGCGGACGGGUGAGGAAUACAUCGGAAUCUACUCUGUCGUGGGGGAUAACGUAGGGAAACUUACGCUAAUACCGCAUACGACCUACGGGUGAAAGCAGGGGAUCUUCGGACCUUGCGCGAUUGAAUGAGCCGAUGUCGGAUUAGCUAGUUGGCGGGGUAAAGGCCCACCAAGGCGACGAUCCGUAGCUGGUCUGAGAGGAUGACCAGCCACACUGGAACUGGGACACGGUCCAGACUCCUACGGGAGGCAGCAGUGGGGAAUAUUGGACAAUGGGCGCAAGCCUGAUCCAGCCAUACCGCGUGGGUGAAGAAGGCCUUCGGGUUGUAAAGCCCUUUUGUUGGGAAAGAAAUCCAGCUGGCUAAUACCCGGUUGGGAUGACGGUACCCAAAGAAUAAGCACCGGCUAACUUCGUGCCAGCAGCCGCGGUAA